UAUAGCCAAUCAUAUGUCACACACUUUUAACCAAAAGCGUCGAGCAUUGCGACUUUUACUCUAUUUAUAUAGUAUGCAUCAUUACACACUAGUACUGAAAUUUAAAUUACAAUACUGACUGGAAUGUAAAGCUACAAUACUAAUAGUAGGCAUCCGUAGUUUUUUUUUUCUAACACAUACACACAUAUAUUAUUUUAUUAUUAUCAUUAUUACUGUUUCUACCAUCACCUUCACUGAUAUGGAUUCAUCCAAAAAUCCAUAUUACGCUCAUCGUAUUUCCAUACGAGGCGUUCUCCCACCUGUCGCAUACGAUCACUGCUUUCUAAAAUUUCCUCCCCAAAAGUCCUAAGUUCCUGGACAUUUUCUGCACUCAUUGGGGGUGCAGGUUCUAGGACUGGGUUUGGAAACUGAGGUACAGGUUCCUGAUACGGAGGCAUAGGGGCCUGGUACGGGUAUGGAUUCUCUAAAAUUUCCCUAACAUAUGCAUCACUAAUGUUGUAGGGAUCUUGAGGAUCUAACCCUGGGUAAGCUCCUAAGUUGGGCAUUGGCACAUUUUCCUGUAUUGGGUUUUGUUGCACGUAGUCCCUAACAUCGUCCCACCAGGGGUCGUAAUUGUUUGGGUCUAGGGGAUCUGGUGCAAGUACCCUAGGUAUCUCCUCCGGGUUGUAAUCAGGCAUUUCUAUCUGGUCUUCUACUUCCAUGGGUUUGGGUCAGCAGCAGUGGUUGCUAAAAUAUGGAUAUUAGCAAUACCCCUAUUGAGCAUAUCCUGAUUAUAAGCAUCGGUUUCUCUUUUUGCUGCGGCUAACACUCGCUGUUCCUGCAACUUUUUCAUUCUUUUUCUACGCUCGUGUGCUCCCCUACUGAACCAUCCCCUCUUUUUCUGAGGAAAUGGCUCUUCAGACUGAGCCUUAAACACAAAGAUCCCUUCUUCUGUGUCAGCAGAAUACCCUGAGAGGGCAGGCUGAGAAGAGGAGGUGCCUUCGCUCCUAGGCGAACCAGACAGUUGACGAUAGGCGUCAGAAGGUCCUUGGUCGCUCAUACUGUAAACUAACAAAUAGUCAGAUAACACAUAGCAAGAAAUACAAUUAUACACGUAUUUUCAUAAUUUAUUUCCUAACACUUUUGAAUUUCGAUGUCAGCAGAACACUUCUGUGGCUGAAUCAGUGGCAUAGCUCUGAUACCACCUUCUGUCACAGCCCCCGAUCCCUAUCUCCCGGGAACGGGCGGCCGUGAGCCAGUUUCGGUGGUAUCACAUUUAUUUAUCCAAUUUGGCAGCGGAAAUUUUCAUCAGGACCGUAGUUAGGAAAUAUUUAAUCAGAGUAAACCACCAUGUUUUAUAAUAUUAAACAUAUGGGUAAAACCCAAGUUUUCAAUACACACAUUUCAUAGGAAUAAAUCCUAUUUAUUUAUUAAAAAGCAUCUCUUUUAUUCUUAGGUAACUUUAUUGCCACUUUUCCAAGCCUUCAGUGCUGUCCAGCUGGCUUCUAUUUGGCUUUCACAUAUUGUUACCUGAAACGCGUUUUAAAAAUAUUUUGUCAGUGGGAAAUACUGGUGAGUGAAUCCCAGUUUAAUCAAGUUUAAAUAAAAAUUCACAGUGAACAGUAUUGAGGGCGCAUCCGCAAUUACAUUUGUUUCCAAGUUAUAUCAAUUACCACCACACGGUAAUGUCGUUCCGACUUAUGGUCAUGUUACUCCUUUACCAGGUGGUAACAAAUUUUGUAUACAAAUCCCCAAAUUUACCGACUGUAAUUGUAUUCUUACAAAUACUCAAUAACUGUUAUUCGCAUGGAAAGAUAUUUAAGGUUUUGUAAAAACAGUUAACAAAAAGUGGAUCAACUCACAUUGCUGUCUUAGGUGAUUCUUUAGGGUUUCCUGGUGAAUAUCUAUAAUUUACACAAAUGCACGUGUGUUAGUAUAAUAACCCAUUUUAACAUUAGUAAUACCCUCCCCGAGACGGCAUUCCAACGACUACGUCGGGCAGAACCACGACAGCCGUUACGGAACCCUAGAUCAAUCGGGCAGCGUAUCUAAUACGUCUCCAGGGGUUAUAAUACUUACAUCGUAGCAGAACCUCGCUAUUCUGGGGGAUAUAAUGCCCGGGUAUAGUGUAUACUAUUC
RNAcentral lists this long non-coding RNA (2118 nucleotides) under Helianthus annuus (common sunflower). RNAcentral describes it as "hypothetical non coding rna". Lineage: Eukaryota; Viridiplantae; Streptophyta; Magnoliopsida; Asterales; Asteraceae. The record is from RNAcentral.